AAGAUAUGGUAUGGGCAUUUUAUUAAUAUCUCCUUAAAGCAUUCCUAGACUUCAUAAAUGGAUUCCUUAUUUAAUUGGUUAAAAUUUGUGAUAUCAUUUCUCAUUAU
This is a small nucleolar RNA of Dendrobium catenatum, 107 nucleotides long. The record is from RefSeq and is a predicted model, not a curated record. Lineage: Eukaryota; Viridiplantae; Streptophyta; Magnoliopsida; Asparagales; Orchidaceae.